Molecule: ribosomal RNA, 570 nt
Filed under: Neonectria sp. O_2_BESC_883h
Lineage: Eukaryota; Fungi; Ascomycota; Sordariomycetes; Hypocreales; Nectriaceae
Description: eukaryotic LSU rRNA
Rfam family: Eukaryotic large subunit ribosomal RNA
Source: RNAcentral
ACCUCGGAUCAGGUAGGAAUACCCGCUGAACUUAAGCAUAUCAAUAAGCGGAGGAAAAGAAACCAACAGGGAUUGCCCUAGUAACGGCGAGUGAAGCGGCAACAGCUCAAAUUUGAAAUCUGGCCUUCGGGUCCGAGUUGUAAUUUGUAGAGGAUGCUUUUGGUGAGGUACCUUCCGAGUUCCCUGGAACGGGACGCCAUAGAGGGUGAGAGCCCCGUCUGGUUGGAUACCGAUCCUCUGUAAAGCUCCUUCGACGAGUCGAGUAGUUUGGGAAUGCUGCUCUAAAUGGGAGGUAUAUGUCUUCUAAAGCUAAAUAUUGGCCAGAGACCGAUAGCGCACAAGUAGAGUGAUCGAAAGAUGAAAAGCACUUUGAAAAGAGAGUUAAAAAGUACGUGAAAUUGUUGAAAGGGAAGCGCUCAUGACCAGACUUGGGCUUGGUUGAUCAUCCAGGGUUCUCCCUGGUGCACUCUUCCAGCCCAGGCCAGCAUCAGUUCGCUGUGGGGGAUAAAGGCUUCGGGAAUGUGGCUCCUCCGGGAGUGUUAUAGCCCGCUGCGUAAUACCCUGUGGUGG